GACGAACGCUGGCGGCGUGCUUAACACAUGCAAGUCGAACGAUGAAGUUCCUUCGGGAAUGGAUUAGUGGCGAACGGGUGAGGAACACGUGAGAAACCUGCCUUUCAUUUUGGGAUAACUCCGGGAAACCGGGGCUAAAACCGAAUACUCCGUCUCGGCGGCAUCGCUGAGCCGGGAAAAAAUUUUGAUGAAAGAUGGUCUCGCGGCCUAUCAGCUAGUUGGUGAGGUAAUGGCUCACCAAGGCAACGACGGGUAGCCGGCCUGAGAGGGCGGCCGGCGACACUGGGACUGAGACACGGCCCAGACUCCUACGGGAGGCAGCAGUGGGGAAUAUUGGGCAAUGGGCGCAAGCCUGACCCAGCGACGCCGCGUGAGGGAUGAAGGCCUUCGGGUUGUAAACCUCUUUCAGUAGGGAAGAAGCGAAAGUGACGGUACCUAAAGAAGAAGCACCGGCUAACUAUGUGCCAGCCGCCGCGGUAA
RNAcentral lists this ribosomal RNA (480 nucleotides) under uncultured bacterium. RNAcentral's name for it is "partial 16S ribosomal RNA". It matches the Rfam family "Bacterial small subunit ribosomal RNA", at positions 28 to 523 of the family's 1533-position model. The record is from RNAcentral.